This 1115-nucleotide ribosomal RNA is filed under the name Schizopygopsis younghusbandi younghusbandi. RNAcentral's name for it is "partial 16S ribosomal RNA". The stretch from base 188 to 1097 matches the Rfam family "Bacterial large subunit ribosomal RNA", at positions 568 to 2044 of the family's 2925-position model. The record is from RNAcentral. Lineage: Eukaryota; Metazoa; Chordata; Actinopteri; Cypriniformes; Cyprinidae.
GCCAAACAGCUAGCUCAAUUACCCAAUAACUAAACAAUAUAAAUAAAACAAAAUAAGCCUAACACCAAAAAUUAAAUCAUUCUUUUACCUUAGUAUGGGCGACAGAAAAGGUUACACCCGGAGCAAUAGAAAAAAGUACGCAAGGGAAAGCUGAAAGAGAAAUGAAAUAACUUAUAUAAGCACCAAAAAGCAAAGAUUAAAUCUUGUACCUUUCGCAUCAUGAUUUAGCCAGUAUACCCAAGCAAAGAGACCUUUAGUUUGAAACCCCGAAACCAAGUGAGCUACCCCGAGACAGCCUAUUAAGGGCCAACCCGUCUCUGUGGCAAAAGAGUGGGAAGAGCUCCGGGUAGAGGUGACAGACCUACCGAACUUGGUGAUAGCUGGUUGCCUAAGAAGUGAAUAGAAGUUCAGCCUCGUACUCCCUGAAUCAAAAGGUAUAAAAAGAUAUUAGAGGGAAAUAUAUGAGAGUUAGUUAAAGGGGGUACAGCCCCUUUAACAAAGGACACAACCUUUCCAGGAGGAUAAAGAUCAUAAUACAUAAGACAUCCUGUUCUAGUGGGCCUAAAGGCAGCCAUCUAAACAGAAAGCGUUAAAGCUCAGACAGAAAUAAGUUUAUUAUUCCGACAAGAAAUCUUACUCCCCUAAAUAUUAUUAGGCCAGCCCAUGCCCACAUGGGAGAGACUAUGCUAAAAUGAGUAACAAGAAGGCCAGCCCUUCUCCAAGCACAAGUGUAAGCCAAACCGGACCGACCAUUGGCAAUUAACGAACUCAACCCAAGAGAGUAGUGUGUAUUACAACGAAACCAGGAAGAACCCACAGUAAACCCAUCGUUACCCCCACACUGGCGUGCUAUUAAAGGAAAGACUAAAAGAAGGGAAAGGAACUCGGCAAACACAAGCCUCGCCUGUUUACCAAAAACAUCGCCUCCUGCAACACAACCAAGUAUAGGAGGUCCAGCCUGCCCAGUGACUACAAGUUCAACGGCCGCGGUAUUUUGACCGUGCAAAGGUAGCGCAAUCACUUGUCUCUUAAAUGGAGACCUGUAUGAAUGGCUAAACGAGGGCUUAACUGUCUCCCCCCUCCAGUCAGUGAAAUUGAUCUAUCCGUGCAGAAGC